UGGGGAAUAUUGCACAAUGGGCGAAAGCCUGAUGCAGCAACGCCGCGUGAGUGAUGAAGGCCUUCGGGUUGUAAAGCUCUGUCUUUUGGGACGAUAAUGACGGUACCAAAGGAGGAAGCCACGGCUAACUACGUGCCAGCAGCCGCGGUAAUACGUAGGUGGCAAGCGUUGUCCGGAUUUACUGGGCGUAAAGGAUGCGUAGGCGGAUUUUUAAGUGAGAUGUGAAAACCCUAAGCUUAACUUGGGGACUGCAUUUCAUACUGGAAAUCUAGAGUGCGGGAGAGGAGAAUGGAAUUCCUAGUGUAGCGGUGAAAUGCGUAGAGAUUAGGAAGAACACCAGUGGCGAAGGCGAUUCUCUGGACCGUAACUGACGCUGAGGCAUGAAAGCGUGGGUAGCAAACAGGAUUAGAUACCCUGGUAGUCCACGCCGUAAACGAUGAGUACUAGGUGUAGGAGGUAUCGACCCCUUCUGUGCCGCAGUUAACACAAUAAGUACUCCGCCUGGGAAGUACGAUCGCAAGAUUAAAACUCAAAGGAAUUGACGGGGGUCAUAGCUGUUUUU
This 562-nucleotide ribosomal RNA is filed under the name uncultured bacterium. RNAcentral describes it as "partial 16S ribosomal RNA". It matches the Rfam family "Bacterial small subunit ribosomal RNA", at positions 355 to 933 of the family's 1533-position model. The record is from RNAcentral.